Harpia harpyja (harpy eagle) is the source of this 1112-nucleotide long non-coding RNA. RefSeq lists it as uncharacterized. The record is from RefSeq and is a predicted model, not a curated record. Lineage: Eukaryota; Metazoa; Chordata; Aves; Accipitriformes; Accipitridae. The transcript has 2 exons.
UUACUCUUAAAAACACUUUGUGCCGUAAUAAGAAAAAACAGUUGGGGUAUAAAUCCAGUUAUCCAAAAAUCUGUUUUGAAAUUAUUACUUCCUUCUGCAUCUUAAUGAUUUGAUGAUCUUAUUGAAAACUGUAAGUAAAUUUAAGAGAAAUAGCUGAAGUUAUCAUUUUAGCUCAAUUUGUCUUUUAAAAAAACAAAACCCGAUUUGUAUCAACAGAGCUUCAGUGCAAGGUGGCGGCUUGGUGAAAGCCUGUCUGAACUGUUAUCAGCGAUAUCUGUCCUUGUUCCUAAAAUCUUAAUAUUUUAUGCUUCUGGACGAUUCUGGCAUGGGGAACAAAAUGUACUUUUUGUUGUUUUACUUUUAUAUGGUCUUAAACAGCUGGAGAGAUGGAUUGACUUACAUUAAUACAAUCAAAUUACUGUAUUUAGCAUUAGACUUGGACGCAAAUAUCAGUCUGUUAUCUGAACUCUGUAUUUUGAUUGAAUUGUCUAUUCAGGUUAUAGUUUUAAGUAUGAGGGGUUUUGAUACUAAGAAUCAUAUCCUGUAAGGAGUACUCUCUCCCUGAAUUGACUUGUGGGAGUUUGUAUAUGCUGACCAUGUUUACGUUUGGAAAGUUUUAUGAAGAAACAAAAAAAGUGCAUACAUAAAGUGUAGCAAACAGGCUUACCAUUAGGAAUGUAGUACUACAUUCCUAGUCAUGGUAAGAAAAGCAUGACGUUACGAUUUUUAAAACUAUCUUUAAAAAGAGAUGUAGUUUGCCUUAGAUAUUGGGAAUGGUAAUUCCCUGUGGAAGUUUCCUCGUUAGUGGAAAUUAUCUAAAAGAAUAGAGUUGUGUAACCUUGCUUGCAGGUAUGACUGGUACCCUUGACGCUUGAAAUCACUGUUCACAAUGUGGUAAUGCUUUAUGUGGGUGGUGAUGGGGAGACUAUUCUCUCUUGAAGUAUGUACUUAGCCUAGAUUUUAGAUUGGACUAAUACCAGAAAUCAAGACAUUAUGUUGGAUUUCAAACAGAUACAUCAAAUGUUUCAGUUUUUAGGAUUGAGAUGUCUGCAGCUUGCAGCAACAAUAGUGAACCUCAGCUGUCUGAAAUAGAAUAAACAAAUGAAUUGCAA